RNAcentral lists this ribosomal RNA (595 nucleotides) under Fusarium equiseti. RNAcentral describes it as "eukaryotic LSU rRNA". It matches the Rfam family "Eukaryotic large subunit ribosomal RNA", at positions 86 to 704 of the family's 3401-position model. Lineage: Eukaryota; Fungi; Ascomycota; Sordariomycetes; Hypocreales; Nectriaceae. The record is from RNAcentral.
ACGGCGAGUGAAGCGGCAACAGCUCAAAUUUGAAAUCUGGCUCUCGGGCCCGAGUUGUAAUUUGUAGAGGAUGCUUUUGAUGCGGUGCCUUCCGAGUUCCCUGGAACGGGACGCCAUAGAGGGUGAGAGCCCCGUCUGGUUGGAUGCCAAAUCUCUGUAAAGCUCCUUCGACGAGUCGAGUAGUUUGGGAAUGCUGCUCUAAAUGGGAGGUAUAUGUCUUCUAAAGCUAAAUACCGGCCAGAGACCGAUAGCGCACAAGUAGAGUGAUCGAAAGAUGAAAAGCACUUUGAAAAGAGAGUUAAAAAGUACGUGAAAUUGUUGAAAGGGAAGCGUUUAUGACCAGACUUGGGCUUGGUUAAUCAUCUGGGGUUCUCCCCAGUGCACUUUUCCAGUCCAGGCCAGCAUCAGUUUUCGCCGGGGGAUAAAGGCUUCGGGAAUGUGGCUCUCUCCGGGGAGUGUUAUAGCCCGUUGCGUAAUACCCUGGCGGGGACUGAGGUUCGCGCAUCUGCAAGGAUGCUGGCGUAAUGGUCAUCAACGACCCGUCUUGAAACACGGACCAAGGAGUCGUCUUCGUAUGCGAGUGUUCGGGUGUCAA